UUUCUCUCUUUCUAUCUUCUCAGGUUAUAAUAUAAUAUAAUUCUCUCUUGUUAUUACAUUCGCCAUCUCCAUUGGUAUUUAAAACGCGAAACAAAUUGUAAUAGUAAUAGAUUUAAAUUAUUAGUUUAAAAAUUGAAAAUUUUCUACUAUUGGAAACAAAGAGAAAAUAAAUUCUAUUCUAAAUUUCUAAAUUAUGGCUUGUCUUAUAACAUUGAAAAAAGAUUUAAGACGUUUAGAGACCAUUUUUCCUAAAGAUCAUGAACGAUUUCAGUUAAUGAACGCCACAGUCGAUGAAUUAACAUGUACAUUUAUUGGCAGAAAUGGUAAAAAAUAUGAGAUUCACGCAAAUUUUACGGAAACCUAUCCAGAGGCACCACCAGUUUGGUUCUCCGAGGUUGAAGACGAAAGUAUCAGUAAUAUCGUACAAUAUUUGAGCAACACAAAUGGUGUUGAAAAUUACAUUCUACAACAGGUAAAAGUUCUCGUUCGUGAAUUAUGCAAAGAUCACAAUCUUCCAGAACCAACCGAACUGGGUCAACUUUGUGAUGUGUCAACACCAUUGAUUAACGGUGCUUUACAAUGUUCAAAUUCACGUUCUUCUUUUGCCACCGAGAAUAGUGGUGAUUCGGGUUAUAUUAAUGAUAAUGAUGAAGUAAAUCAGGCAAAUGUCAAUAAUCAUCCAUCCUCUGAUACUGAGGAAGAUUCAGAUAUGGAAGAUGAAGAUUUACCAAUAGAAAUGGAAGAAGAUGCCAGCAAUGCAGAUAAGUCAAAAGAUGACGGGUUAAGCCAUGAACACACAGCAACACUUGAAAGACUCAAGCAAAAUCAACGGGAAGGCUAUUUGAGAGGUGCAGUUAGUGGAUCUGUACAAGCAUCCGAUAGAUUAAUGAAAGAAUUGAGAGAAGUUUAUCGAUCAGAAAGCUUUAAGAAAGGUGUAUUUUGUGUUGAAUUGAUCAACGAUUCCCUUUACGAGUGGAAUGUCAAAUUAUUUAUUGUAGAUCCAGAUAGUCCUUUGCAUAAUGAUCUGAGAAUAUUGAAAGAAAAAGAGGGAAAAGAUCACAUUUUAUUGAACAUUUUAUUCAAGGAAACUUAUCCUUUCGAACCACCAUUUGUUCGUGUUGUUCAUCCCAUGAUUCAAGGUGGUUAUGUGCUUUGCGGUGGAGCGAUUUGUAUGGAACUACUAACGAAACAGGGAUGGAGCAGUGCGUACACAGUUGAAGCUAUUAUUUUACAAAUAGCUGCUACCUUAGUUAAGGGCAAAGCUCGUAUUCAAUUCCAUGGAAAUAAGGUAUUCAAGGGCCAAUAUAGUCUCGCUCGGGCACAACAAACUUACAGAUCUCUUGUACAAAUACACGAGAAAAAUGGUUGGUUCACACCUCCAAAAGAAGAUGGUUAACCUUUAUCGUUUGUUUAUCACUAAAAAAACUGAAAAAACACCAAUAACAAUUUACUCGAUUAUCAUUUGAAGACAUUAGAUUAACAAGUAAUCAACAAUUACUCAGUAUUACAGUACGUUUCGUCUCGAGUUUUUCGUUUUAAAUUGUGAAAAAUCAAAUUUGAUUUAUUUUUCGCUUCUUCCUCAAUCAAACUAUUGGAUUUACAAAGAAGAUGCCAAACAAAAACAACCAAAAAUGCUGAAUUUUUAUCUUUUAAUUAGCUGAUUCUUGUUUUGUUUCCUUUACCAUCAUCGUCUAAAUUAACAAUUAACCAGGAAUGUAAUUAGUGGAUUUACAUGGAGUGUUGGUCACCUUAAUUUUUUGUUUUCCUUCUUCUUUGCAAUCAAAUUAAUCAUUUUUGAUUUGCUCUGUUAAUCAACCUGCUUCCUUACUCUUCAUCGACAUUCAUUACCUAAAAUCUUACAUCAUUUCUAAUUUACCAUCAUUUUAAGGAUUAAUUGUUUCAACAUUAUUUACAAUAGGACAAACUAACAAAUUAACUUUUAUCUUUUAAUCCUUUUUUGAUAAAGAAGAACAAAAAAAAACAAUUAAUGAUUCAACUUGAAACAAUUAACUUUAAAAGGAUAAACAAUUGAAGAAGAGCAAAAAAUGAACUAAUUUACAUAAAAUCUACUUCGAAAUGAUGACCCUCAUUCUAAAUCCAUUGGUUAAUUGCAACAUGAUUCUCAUCAUUAUCUUUUCUAUUUAAGACCAUAAUAUUCAUACGAGAAAAAGAAACAAUUAAUAAAUAGACUAAACAAUUAA
This is an RNA transcript of Panonychus citri (citrus red mite), 2201 nucleotides long. It is a transcript of the gene named ubiquitin-conjugating enzyme E2 Q2-like, with no coding region annotated. Lineage: Eukaryota; Metazoa; Arthropoda; Arachnida; Trombidiformes; Tetranychidae. The record is from RefSeq and is a predicted model, not a curated record. The transcript has 8 exons.